GCCAUAUCAGAAAUCCUCUAUAGCUCCUCUCUCUCUCUCUCUCUCUCUCUCUCUCUCUCUCUCUCUCUUUUUGCCCCCCUCUUCUAUUAACAGUUGAGGGGAAUGUUGUCUGGUUCGAUGUCAUUCAUCUGAAGCUCAAAUUAACCUUAACUGAAUGAUUUCGGACCAGGCUUCAUUCCCCCCAACAGGGUUUGAUUUGAUUUUCAUCUAGACUAAUUAAAGCAUGUAAUAGCUUUGCUAAUUCAUCAUCUUCAUCAUUUUUUAGUCUGAUGCAGUAGAUAUUAAGAGGUGCAAGAAAGUUUAGUUCUCCCUUGUUAUUUCCAUUUUCUAAAGCUUAAUCAUAUAUAUUAUUGCUGAUGGCAGGAGGAUAUAUAUAUGUUUAGUCGAUCGGCUUUGAUCCGAUGCAAAUAAUUAUCAGGGAAAGGAACCAAGGAAAAAGCUAUUAUGAAAUUUCAGCCACCAGGCAGCCAGCAGGUUAGUCUGAGGAAAAUUUCUCAACAGUUAGCUUUGUUGUAUGAUUCUGAAACCUGUUCUGGCAAGUUGCUAUUUCACUUUUCUGCAUAUGCCCCCAACCAUUGCCUUCAUUGGAAUAUUCACACUCACCAACAAAAGUUGCCGAACCCAUCGCUCUUCUACCAUAUGGAAAGUGAACAAUAAUCUGCAGAGUGCUAAUCUGUCUUGAUAUAAUUUACAUUGAAAGUACUUCAGAUAUCUGCAACUAACAGAAACUCCGUUGUUUCAAGUCUUCAUCCCCCGCCAGACAUUAAUUACUUAUUUCCCUUCUGUUUUUAUGAAGAACUCAACUCUCCAGAUUCGCUUCAUCAGUCAGAACUUCCAUCUGUCAGGCAAAAUUCCCCACCAGAAAUAUAAAUAUUCUAGGGAGGAAGUAGAGGAUUUCUUGUAGAAUUUCUCCAACUAAGCAAUGUAAUUUCACUCACAAGUCCAAUGGACCAAGGAAAUUUUCAUUAUUAACUACAUAUUAUAUCAAUUGCUCCAACUCCACGCUCGGUUCAAGCUCAAGUUAAGCCUCUUACUUCCUUUGAGAACUUCACCAAGACUCCUGCCAAUAAUGUAAACCACUUAUCUUAGGUUAUGAUAGUGCAUUAUCAAUUGAGUU
Long non-coding RNA from Hevea brasiliensis (rubber tree), 1117 nucleotides. RefSeq lists it as uncharacterized. The record is from RefSeq and is a predicted model, not a curated record. The transcript is spliced from 3 exons. Lineage: Eukaryota; Viridiplantae; Streptophyta; Magnoliopsida; Malpighiales; Euphorbiaceae.